CCCACGCCCCGCACCUCCUCCCAACGACGAGAGCAUGGUCGGGAUUCCGCCCGUCGAUCCUCCGCCUUCGCCCAUCCUUCGCCUACGCCGCUGUCCGCCGCCCGUCGAUCCUCCUCCGCUGCCGCCUCCCGCCGAUCCUCCACUCGGCUAUCGCGCGUAGAUCCUCCACUCCGCCGGCGCCCCCUCCCCCCUGACCCCGCCUCCGCCCGCCCCGCCCCGCCUCCUCAGAGGAGGCCGUCAAUGUAGGCCCCACCGCCAGCCCUCAGCUUUCGCCCCGUCCCCGUGCUCCCGACGCCGUGGGUGCUCGUGAGGAUCUCCGUGUCCCGUGAUUUCCCCCAUUCCUGUUCCUAGGAUUUCAACGCCUGCUUCGGUUCGUCUGGUGGUGCCGGUGUUCACUUUGUGCGCAGGUGGGGAAGGUUCUCAUGGUCGGGGUUGGAGGCAUCAGGUGCGAGCUUCUCAAGACCCUCGCCCUCUCGGGCUUCAGUGACAUCCACAUCAUUGACUUGGACACUUGUGUUCAGCAAUCUGUACAGACAGUUUCUAUUUCGGAAGAGUCAUGUUGGACAGUCAAAAGCCCAUGUAAGUAUAUUUUCUACAUGAACAUAUGGUGGUUAUAGGUAUCUUGUGGAAUUUUUUCAUAAUUGAUGCCUGCUUAUAUUUCCACCAUUGAUUUUGUCAGGUUACUUGGGAUGCUAUUCUGAAAUUUAGUCCAAAAAUCUAUAUAAAUCACACCAUGCAAAUGUUAAGGAUGCCCAUUUCAACGUAGACUUUUUCAAGCAAUUUAAUGUAGUUUUGAAUGGCCUUGAUAACUUGGAUGCUAGAAUACAUGUGAAUCGCCUCUGCCUUGUUGCUGAAGUUCUUUUGGUUGAAAGUGGGACCACUGGAUUUCUCGGACAGGUGAGGUGACCAAAUAUCAUGGUUUUUGUCUCUAUAUCUUUGCAUCUCCCUUGUCACUAAUGCCCGUGGGUAUUUUUAAGCUUGUCUUUUGUAUUUUGCUCAUAGUACUCCUGUUACAAGGUGGCCAGUGUGCUAACCGUUGGUGGUCCCUUUUCAUUUUAUUAGUAAGAUAGAAGAAAUAUUUACCCUAGGUGUACAACCUUCCAGUUGAGAUGGCCAUUGUGUACACUCUGAUAACAUGAGAGAGUUGGCAUUUCUAUGGGUAAAUGUUAGUGCCUAAACUGGUUUGUGUAGCUUCUGAACCCCAACCAGGCACCAAUUGAAUCCUUCCGUUGCAAGUUGAUGAGCCCUUAAUAUGAGAAAGAGGACAUUUCUAUGGUGUAGGGCCUAAAUUUAAUGACCUUGGUUUGGUGCUUCUCAUAGUUUCCUUUUUCCAGAUUAAUGCCAAUUUAAAAAAAAUCAGCAAAUGUUCGUACAAAGAAUUCAGUAAGUACAAGAAAGAUUACAAAUAUUUGGCAGCUCGCAUCCAGCGUGCCCCUAGACGCACAUUCCAUUUCUGCAAUCGGUGGAUGUCUGUCAAGUUAGAAAUUACUUCCCUUUCCCAACAAGAUCAUGGAUGGUACAAUGCGGGUGGUUGCUGGUUUGUUUCUAUUCCUAGCGACUUACUUUUAUUUUACUCAUUAUAAUUUAUAAGUCAUAAUUCUGGAUGACUUCCUUUGUUAUACUAAUGUGAGUGCUACCUUCAAUUUUGUUGAGUUCUUGCAUGGAACUCCCGAUGCUAUAUACUCCCUCCUUACCAAAAUAUACGGCACAAUUGACUUUUUUUGGUCUUCGAUUCACAACUUUGAAUUUGAUUUUCACUUAUAUUAUGUCUACACAAAUUAAAAAAUUUGCAAAUACGAUGAUACCACUUAUAAAUGCUAUAAUCAUAUAAUUUUUUUUGUAUUACUGUGCAGAGUUGUGCAUUAAAGACCAUGCAAUGUCAAGCGUGCCUUAUAUUUUGGGAAGGAGGGACUAUGAAUAAGGAAAUUUAAAAAGUGAAGGAGCAACUUUAUAAUUUUUUUGCUGCUUCCGUCACAUGCUUAUCUUUGAUGACAAGCUCUUUAUCACACAAUUUAGUCUCUCACGGAUGUCUCUUACAUGGGUGAUUUGACUUUAUAUUUGGGCUAUGUCUCUAUUUUUAUUAGCAACAACAAAUGAAGCCUGACAGUUGCUCGAGGAUGCUUCUGCUGUACAGACAUAGUGGGGGACAUUUAAGAUGUAUAGCUCAUAUAGGAGAGUCGAGAAAUUCGCAGAACCUAAAGUUAUAUUUUCUACUGUAACCAGAAAUAUUCCACAACAACACACUAAUUAUAAUGAGCAUUGCAACAAAAAUUCUACUUUUUUACUUUUCCAUGUUUUUGUUUGAAAUCAAAUUUGGUACCGGCACUACUAAUUAAUGGCUUCAGUCAGAUGAUGACAUACAAUUAUUGUAUCGUGUUUUUCAGGAGGUUUCAAUGUUUGAACGUUACUGUUUCUUGUCAAUGAAGAUUAGCUUUUUCCGUACGCGAACAUUACAAUUUGUUCAAGUUGGAUGCCAGCUGUGUCCUGGCUUUGGUGGCAGUGCUCAAAACCUGCAGAUUCUCUAUCACUCUAUUUACAUGAACUUAGUUUUCAUAUAUGUCUUCCCCUAUCCCUUUUUUACAUUCAACUAACUUGCUAUCUAUUUGCUUGGUUGAAGAUGGGAGACUUGCCUAUUGGUUUAUAUAAAUGAUAGGCUUUCCCGUUUGUUAGUAAGGAGUGUGGGCCUGAAUCAUCGUUUUCACUCAUGUUUCAUCUGGCAAGAUCUUUCUUUGCAUGGUUACACCUUGAUAAACUGUGCACCAACUCACAUGACAAUAAAUUGAAUUCAAAUCUUUGUUGGGCAGAAAUGGUUCACUUAUUUAACCAACUAUCAUGCACCCAUUAUUCUGCUAUGUCCAUAUACAUUUAUGUUUUCUUUAGGCUUGGAACUUUAUACAUGAUGAAAAUUGAUGUUGGCCAAAGUUAGGGUUGCCAACUAGGCACAUCUUAUUUCAAUCAGUAUCUAUAGUUUCAGCUCAUUAGCUUAUGAAAGUACCUUGGAAAGUAUGAUACCAUGCCAUAUAAUGAAUGUAAUCUUGGUUUUUUUGUUGUUGUCAUUUUCUUACAUGUCUUUCCUUUUUAGUGAUUUGCUGCCAAAGUAUUAUUGAUCUCCAAUGUUGAGUGUCGACAAAUGAGCAAUUUAAAUGCCUUUUCAGUGCUGAAUCUGGAUGAAGAGGAAUGAGAGAACAUAAUCUCGGUGAAGAUAUUUCAGUGAGACAAGAUAGUGUGUACAAUUGAACUUUUUUUCAGGAGAGCAGUAGAAAAUUAUAUUGCUUGGUUUUUUUAUAUUCCUUUUCCAAUGUAAUUUUACGCAUUAUUGGCUUGGAAUAGAUGAUAUCUCACAAAUCAAGUUUGAAUUACUCAAAUAAUCAUAACAUGGUUG
Long non-coding RNA from Triticum dicoccoides, 3382 nucleotides. RefSeq lists it as uncharacterized. NCBI's taxonomy places the organism in Eukaryota, Viridiplantae, Streptophyta, Magnoliopsida, Poales, Poaceae. The record is from RefSeq and is a predicted model, not a curated record. The transcript is spliced from 3 exons.